AUCCUUUGUCAGUUGCUUCAUUUGCAAAUAUUUUCUCCCAUUCUGAGGGUUGUCUUUUGGUCUUGUUUAUGGUUGCCUUUGCUGUGCAAAAGCUUUGAAGUUUCAUUAGGUCCCAUUUGUUUAUUUUUGUUUUUAUUUCCAUUUCUCUAGGAGGUGGGUCAAAAAGGAUCUUGCUGUGAUUUAUAUCAUAGAGUGUUCUGCCUAUGUUUUCCUCUAAGCGUUUGAUAGUGUCUGGCCUUACAUUUAGGUCUUUAAUCCAUUUUGAGUUUACUUUUGUGUAU
Molecule: long non-coding RNA, 281 nt
Organism: Orcinus orca (killer whale)
Lineage: Eukaryota; Metazoa; Chordata; Mammalia; Artiodactyla; Delphinidae
Exons: 3
Source: RefSeq, a predicted model, not a curated record